CCUACGGGUGGCAGCAGUGAGGAAUAUUGGUCAAUGGACGAGAGUCUGAACCAGCCAAGUAGCGUGAAGGAUGACUGCCCUAUGGGUUGUAAACUUCUUUUAUAUGGGAAUAAAAUGUUCCACGUGUGGGGUUUUGUAUGUACCAUAUGAAUAAGCAUCGGCUAACUCCGUGCCAGCAGCCGCGGUAAUACGGGGGAUGGGAGCGUUAUCCGGAUUUAUUGGGUUUAAAGGGUGCGUAGGCGGAAGAUUAAGUCAGCGGUAAAAUUGUGAGGCUCAACCUCUAAGGGCCGUUGAAACUGGGUUUCUUGAGUGAGUGAGAGGUAUGCGGAAUGCGUGGUGUAGCGGUGAAAUGCUUAGAUAUCACGCAGAACUCCGAUUGCGAAGGCAGCAUACCGGCGCUCAACUGACGCUCAUGCACGAAAGUGUGGGUAUCGAACAGGAUUAGAUACCCGGGUAGUC
Molecule: ribosomal RNA, 459 nt
Filed under: uncultured bacterium
Lineage: Bacteria
Description: partial 16S ribosomal RNA
Rfam family: Bacterial small subunit ribosomal RNA
Source: RNAcentral